This is a long non-coding RNA of Lutra lutra (Eurasian river otter), 1607 nucleotides long. RefSeq lists it as uncharacterized. The record is from RefSeq and is a predicted model, not a curated record. NCBI's taxonomy places the organism in Eukaryota, Metazoa, Chordata, Mammalia, Carnivora, Mustelidae. The transcript has 4 exons.
GGCGUAAAAAGGCUCGCCCUUACCGCAGAGAUUUGGGUCCCGGGCUGCCCGGCUCUGGGCCGGACCUGGACCGCUGUCCCGUUGUCCCUCCGCCACCGAGUCCGAUGGCGGCGGCCGCGCCCAGGGAUCCGGCUCCCGGGUUGGUCUGGCCUUCUCAUAUCGGGCCCAUGGACACUGCUUGUUUCCCUGAUUGCCUAAACACGUGCUGUGGCUAGUAAGUCUGAGAUAAUCACAUGGACUUGUCCUGGGUUUGUCAAACACAUUCUGGUGUAUGGGUGGUCUCGUCCAAUCAGAUUCAAUAUGGACUCCUCCAACAUUUUAUUUCUUUCAGGUUGUUGAUGUGGAGCAGAUGAGGAGGAGGUACCUUUCGAGCAGAGGAUUUCUAUAGAAGUGUCAGAGAUCAGGACUCCAAGGCAGAUGUGUCUGCCCAGAGGGCCCACUUCUAUGAGAUAUAUAACCUGGUCUUGAGAGUUUGCGCUUGGCUGUGCCAAGGAACACAUACCAGCCAGAAACCAUACACCUAUGGGGCACAUGGGAAAUGAUUAUGUUUUACUGCAAAUCUUCCAUAGCUCCGGAAGCAGGACAUUGGAGAGAAACACUUUAGAAGCAGAACCUCAUUCGUGAAGAGCUGCAAGUUCUUUGUGUCAAGGAAGCCCUUUAUCUGUAGGGAGGUUGGGAAGGACUUUUUGACCAGCUCUGGGUCUCUCCAACAAUAAGUCAAAGAGCAGUGCCAAGUGCAUAGUGGCCUUACACGAUAUAGAAAUUCAUUAUAAAUCAGGAGGAUGCUUGAAAACUUGUGAGAACAAAUACACAUUUAUUCAGCACCGGAGAGAGCUUUCUAGAACAUGAUGUUACGUAUGUAGUGCAUGUGGGAAGUCGUUGACCAAAAGGUACCGCCUCAAUCACCAUUGGAGAGUUCACACUGGGAAAGGGCCUUAGUAAGUAUGCAGAAUGUGGUAAAUUAUUUAGCAUCAAGGCCAGCCUCAUUCCGCAUCAGAGUUCACACUGGGGAAGGGCCUUAUGUGUGCAAGGAAUGUGGGAACUUGUUUCCUUACAGAUCCAGUCUAAUUACCUGAGGUUUCACACUGAAUCAAGGCCUUAGGAGUGUGGUGAAUGUGGGAAAUCUUUUAGCCAAAGUUCUGUGCUCUUCCAACAUCAGAAUUCACACUGGAGGAAGGCCUCUUGAGUAUGGGGAAUCUGGGAAAUCCUUUAAGUAAAGCUCUGGUGCUCCUUCAGUGUUGGAAAGUUCACCCUGGAUGAAGGCCUUCUGUAUGUGACAACUUCCCCAGCAGAGGCCCUAUCUCAUUGACUACCAGAUAAUUCACAUAGGAAACUCAGAGGAUUAAUGUAGAUGUGCAGGGAGUGUGCUAGUUCUGUAUUCCUUCUAAUGCUGGAGGUGGCUUAUGAGGGUGCCAUCUGCCUGAAUUUAAUCUCCUACAUCAGAACAGCCACCAAAUUCCAGGCCGAGAAAAUUAAGGACAUCCCACCUCAAGUUUAACCUUAGCAAGAGUACAGCCAUCUUAGCUUCAGCAGCCAUCUCAGGCCCCAGUGAGCAGGGGCUGAACUUUAGUUCUAGGAAAAACUGCUAAGCUUUAGUAACAGGAAAA